This is a long non-coding RNA of Pieris brassicae (large cabbage white), 970 nucleotides long. RefSeq lists it as uncharacterized. The record is from RefSeq and is a predicted model, not a curated record. Lineage: Eukaryota; Metazoa; Arthropoda; Insecta; Lepidoptera; Pieridae. The transcript has 2 exons.
ACUACCGCUGAUACUGUCCUGCUCUAACAUACCCUCUGACCGACUUAAACAUCUGUAGGAAAAAAACUUGAGCGCGUCUAAUGAGUCUUAUGGGGAAACCUAAGGAUCAGUGGUUAAGCGCAUUCACAACACGUUCAAACCCCAGCUGUGGACAAAUGUUUUUUACUCAUCAACUGCUUCUACAGUGAGUACUUUCCACAUUCUGUGUAUAACAAAUUCGUAAUAAAUUAAACAAAUUCAAAAUUCAGAAUCUUUUAUUACACAAUAACAUUAAGUACAUAUACAUUAAGUUUUAUAUAUUAAAUGUAAAUACGCAGUUGUUAUGUUAGCAUAUAUAUCGCCUUGAAAAUUGCCGUAACUGGUAUUCUUGUUUAUAAAUGGUUUUAUUCCAGUUCUUGCUGUGAAUACAGAAACUUUAAAAAAAAGUAGUCUCUCGGUAAUUAAAUUAAUUCGUAGCAUAAUAUUCAGCUUCUGGUAUAUACUUUCAGAAAUUAUCGUAAUCGACCAAAGACCUCAUCUAUACAUUAGCAACAUAAAUGUGAAUCUGUACAAAACUCUGCUGCGACCAGUGGUUCUGAAACCUGGACACUUCGCAAGAAAGACAAGCUAGUUCUAACAAGCGGAAGUUUCUUGGAAAAAUCAUAAAUUCAACAGGCUUAAGUGACAUUUGCACCGAAUGGCGGACGACAGAACCUCAAGGUCCCUACUGAACACUCCCUUAGGCUGCAUUGAUGGGAUGGAGUUGUCAAGGACCUCGAAACAAAAGGUAUUGAAGAUGGACGCAAGAAGUACGAAAUAGAAUGCGAUAGCGAAAUAUACUUGAGGAGGCUAAGGGCUUACAUUGCUGAUGGUGAUGAUAUAAAUGCGAAUGGAAGACAAUGAGCAUCCAAUCGUUAAAUCGGAAUCCUUCACACAACUUUACUAAUUAUAUUUGUAUUGCAAAUAACGUUGAAUAAACAUUCUGAGCUAA